ACGAACGCUGGCGGCGUGCUUAACCCAUGCAAGUCGAACGGAAAGGCCUCUUUCGGGGGGUACUCGAGUGGCGAACGGGUGAGUAACACGUGAGUAACCUGCCCUUGACUUUGGGAUAACUUCAGGAAACUGGGGCUAAUACCGGAUAGGAGCUCCUGCUGCAUGGUGGGGGUUGGAAAGUUUCGGCGGUUGGGGAUGGACUCGCGGCUUAUCAGCUUGUUGGUGGGGUAGUGGCUUACCAAGGCUUUGACGGGUAGCCGGCCUGAGAGGGUGACCGGCCACAUUGGGACUGAGAUACGGCCCAGACUCCUACGGGAGGCAGCAGUGGGGAAGAUUGCACAAUGGGUGGAAGCCUGAUGCAGCAACGCCGUGUGCGGGAUGACGGCCUUCGGGUUGGAAACCGCUUUCGCUCAUGACGAAGCUUUGUGUGACGGUAGUGGGUAAAGAAGCACCGGCUAACUACGUG
RNAcentral lists this ribosomal RNA (466 nucleotides) under uncultured bacterium. Its description in RNAcentral is "partial 16S ribosomal RNA". It matches the Rfam family "Bacterial small subunit ribosomal RNA", at positions 29 to 507 of the family's 1533-position model. The record is from RNAcentral.